GUGUGAACAUGAGCUGACCUGAUCCCCAAAGCUCUUCGAUGAAGGAGAAGAGGCAGGUGUUGGCUUGGAGGCCAUGUAUUCAUGGCAGCUGGUCCCGGCACUUGGGUCCGCAGAGCUGCUGCAGGUUAAAGUUCAGCAUGGCUGCUAAUCGGGGACCAAGCUCCUAGGAAAUGAAGGAUAACAGGACGGUCAAGGCCCAGAAGCUCCCACCGGAGUGGAGGCCUGGGAAUAGGCUGUUCAGUCUUCAAAGCACCCCUGAAUUGUGCUGAGCUGUAGCACAAGCUAAAGAAAGCAUUGGAAUCAAACAUUUUCCCCACCAUUGAUCUGAAAACUCCUACAAUGGAGCUGUCUGAGUGAAUCGAGAUGAAUGCCCACAGAAGUCUUCUGGAAAGAGACUUUCUCUUAGAAUAUCACUCCAAAGUCACAGAGAAGCAGGGAGAGGACAGAGGCCCUCGCUGUCCUGUCACUGCGGCUGGGAAGCCUCACAUUUCCCCAUAAACUUCUCAAGUCCCCAACAGUCAAGCACAUGUUGUUCUAAUCUACUUACUGAAGAGAGAGAAGACGGUGACAUUUGUUAACAUCGUAAGUCUUGUUACUGUGAUGAAUUAAACUGACAGGAUAUUAAGAACAAAUAGCCCUCAAGAGUCGGUAGGCCAACAGUACACCCUACAGCUGGGACAGACAUGGCUUCUGAGCUCAGAGACAGCUGCUGUAAACCAGACAUUAAAUACUGACCACC
This 739-nucleotide long non-coding RNA is filed under the name Mus pahari (shrew mouse). RNAcentral's name for it is "ubiquitination factor E4B, opposite strand 3 (MGP_PahariEiJ_G0003818.1)". The record is from RNAcentral. Lineage: Eukaryota; Metazoa; Chordata; Mammalia; Rodentia; Muridae.